Molecule: ribosomal RNA, 512 nt
Filed under: uncultured bacterium
Lineage: Bacteria
Description: partial 16S ribosomal RNA
Rfam family: Bacterial small subunit ribosomal RNA
Source: RNAcentral
GAUGAACGCUGGCGGCGUGCCUAAUACAUGCAAGUCGAACGAAACUUCUUUAUCACCGAGUGCUUGCACUCACCGAUAAAGAGUUGAGUGGCGAACGGGUGAGUAACACGUGGGCAACCCGCCCAAAAGAGGGGGAUAACACUUGGAAACAGGUGCUAAUACCGCAUAACCAUAGUUACCGCAUGGUAACUAUGUAAAAGGUGGCUAUACUACCGCUUUUGGAUGGGCCCGCGGCGCAUUAGCUAGUUGGUAGGGUAAAGGCUUACCAAGGCAAUGAUGCGUAGCCGAAUUGAGAGGUUGAUCGGCCACAUUGGGACUGAGACACGGCCCAAACUCCUACGGGAGGCAGCAGUAGGGAAUCUUCCACAAUGGGCGAAAGCCUGAUGGAGCAACGCCGCGUGGGUGAAGAAGGUCUUCGGAUCGUAAAACCCUGUUGUUAGAGAAGAAAGUGCGUGAGAGUAACUGUUCACGUUUCGACGGUAUCUAACCAGAAAGCCACGGCUAACUACGUG